CCUUUUAUAGAGAAAGGAAUGUGGAGGGG
RNAcentral lists this ribosomal RNA (29 nucleotides) under Elops machnata (tenpounder). Its description in RNAcentral is "partial 12S ribosomal RNA". The record is from RNAcentral. Lineage: Eukaryota; Metazoa; Chordata; Actinopteri; Elopiformes; Elopidae.